UUCCAUCUCUAACCCUGGCUCUCAAUCCACUGAGUCGCCUUUUCUUCUUUGCAUCCCCAGAGCACUAAGCUGCCUUGCUUCUGCAUCCUAAGGACCAUGGGACUUCCCGUUCAGCUGCCUGGCAGCUGAAACCUUUCCUCCGUGGUGUGGAGCUCCUUGAGAGCAGGGACUCUCUGACUUCAAUAUCUGUAUCCCUGGUGCUAGACAGGAUGAAUAUCUGGUGCACAUAUAUGAUAUUAAAUGGGAUAGUCUGUGAAGAAGAUGAAUUGCACACAAUUGUCAGUGCAUUAAAGAAGUCUCGCCACCUUAGACUAUUCUGAGAAGCCUGAGAACACAU
This 337-nucleotide long non-coding RNA is filed under the name Monodelphis domestica (gray short-tailed opossum). RNAcentral's name for it is "lncRNA (ENSMODG00000049681.1)". Lineage: Eukaryota; Metazoa; Chordata; Mammalia; Didelphimorphia; Didelphidae. The record is from RNAcentral.